CCCUUAGAUGUUCUGGGCCGCACGUGCGCUACACUGACGGAGGCAGCGAGCAUGUCCUUCGCCGAGAGGUGUGGGGAAUCUUGUGAGUCUCCGUCGUGCUGGGGAUAGAUGGUUGCAAUUGUCGAUCUUGAACGAGGAAUUCCUAGUAAGCGCGAGUCAUCAGCUCGCGCUGAUUACGUCCCUGCCCUUUGUACACACCGCCCGUCGCUACUACCGAUUGGAUGGCUUAGCGAGAAUUUUGGAUCGGAGCCCGGGUGGUCGGCAACGGUCGCCCGGGAGAUCUGAGAAAUCAUUCCAGCUUGGUCAUCUAGAGGAAGUAAAAGUCGUAACA
This 331-nucleotide ribosomal RNA is filed under the name uncultured eukaryote. RNAcentral describes it as "partial 18S ribosomal RNA". It matches the Rfam family "Eukaryotic small subunit ribosomal RNA", at positions 1470 to 1796 of the family's 1831-position model. The record is from RNAcentral.